This 1523-nucleotide ribosomal RNA is filed under the name Salmonella enterica subsp. enterica serovar Typhimurium. Its description in RNAcentral is "bacterial SSU rRNA". It matches the Rfam family "Bacterial small subunit ribosomal RNA". Lineage: Bacteria; Pseudomonadati; Pseudomonadota; Gammaproteobacteria; Enterobacterales; Enterobacteriaceae. The record is from RNAcentral.
UGAACGCUGGCGGCAGGCCUAACACAUGCAAGUCGAACGGUAACAGGAAGCAGCUUGCUGCUUCGCUGACGAGUGGCGGACGGGUGAGUAAUGUCUGGGAAACUGCCUGAUGGAGGGGGAUAACUACUGGAAACGGUGGCUAAUACCGCAUAACGUCGCAAGACCAAAGAGGGGGACCUUCGGGCCUCUUGCCAUCAGAUGUGCCCAGAUGGGAUUAGCUUGUUGGUGAGGUAACGGCUCACCAAGGCGACGAUCCCUAGCUGGUCUGAGAGGAUGACCAGCCACACUGGAACUGAGACACGGUCCAGACUCCUACGGGAGGCAGCAGUGGGGAAUAUUGCACAAUGGGCGCAAGCCUGAUGCAGCCAUGCCGCGUGUAUGAAGAAGGCCUUCGGGUUGUAAAGUACUUUCAGCGGGGAGGAAGGUGUUGUGGUUAAUAACCGCAGCAAUUGACGUUACCCGCAGAAGAAGCACCGGCUAACUCCGUGCCAGCAGCCGCGGUAAUACGGAGGGUGCAAGCGUUAAUCGGAAUUACUGGGCGUAAAGCGCACGCAGGCGGUCUGUCAAGUCGGAUGUGAAAUCCCCGGGCUCAACCUGGGAACUGCAUUCGAAACUGGCAGGCUUGAGUCUUGUAGAGGGGGGUAGAAUUCCAGGUGUAGCGGUGAAAUGCGUAGAGAUCUGGAGGAAUACCGGUGGCGAAGGCGGCCCCCUGGACAAAGACUGACGCUCAGGUGCGAAAGCGUGGGGAGCAAACAGGAUUAGAUACCCUGGUAGUCCACGCCGUAAACGAUGUCUACUUGGAGGUUGUGCCCUUGAGGCGUGGCUUCCGGAGCUAACGCGUUAAGUAGACCGCCUGGGGAGUACGGCCGCAAGGUUAAAACUCAAAUGAAUUGACGGGGGCCCGCACAAGCGGUGGAGCAUGUGGUUUAAUUCGAUGCAACGCGAAGAACCUUACCUGGUCUUGACAUCCACAGAACUUUCCAGAGAUGGAUUGGUGCCUUCGGGAACUGUGAGACAGGUGCUGCAUGGCUGUCGUCAGCUCGUGUUGUGAAAUGUUGGGUUAAGUCCCGCAACGAGCGCAACCCUUAUCCUUUGUUGCCAGCGAUUAGGUCGGGAACUCAAAGGAGACUGCCAGUGAUAAACUGGAGGAAGGUGGGGAUGACGUCAAGUCAUCAUGGCCCUUACGACCAGGGCUACACACGUGCUACAAUGGCGCAUACAAAGAGAAGCGACCUCGCGAGAGCAAGCGGACCUCAUAAAGUGCGUCGUAGUCCGGAUUGGAGUCUGCAACUCGACUCCAUGAAGUCGGAAUCGCUAGUAAUCGUGGAUCAGAAUGCCACGGUGAAUACGUUCCCGGGCCUUGUACACACCGCCCGUCACACCAUGGGAGUGGGUUGCAAAAGAAGUAGGUAGCUUAACCUUCGGGAGGGCGCUUACCACUUUGUGAUUCAUGACUGGGGUGAAGUCGUAACAAGGUAACCGUAGGGGAACCUGCGGUUGGAUCACCUCCUUACCUUAAAGAA